AACGAACGCUGGCGGCAUGCCUAACACAUGCAAGUCGAACGAGACCUCCGGGUCUAGUGGCGCACGGGUGCGUAACGCGUGGGAACCUGCCCUUAGGUUCGGAAUAACUCCCCGAAAGGGGUGCUAAUACCGGAUAAUGUCUACGGACCAAAGAUUUAUCGCGUUUGGAUGGGCCCGCGUUGCAUUAGCUAGUUGGUAGGGUAAAAGCCUACCAAGGCGACGAUCGAUAGCUGGUCUGAGAGGAUGAUCAGCCACACUGGGACUGAGACACGGCCCAGACUCCUACGGGAGGCAGCAGUGGGGAAUAUUGGACAAUGGGCGAAAGCCUGAUCCAGCAAUGCCGCGUGAGUGAUGAAGGCCUUAGGGUUGUAAAGCUCUUUUACCCGGGAUGAUAAUGACAGUACCGGGAGAAUAAGCUCCGGCUAACUCCGUG
Molecule: ribosomal RNA, 433 nt
Filed under: uncultured bacterium
Lineage: Bacteria
Description: partial 16S ribosomal RNA
Rfam family: Bacterial small subunit ribosomal RNA
Source: RNAcentral